AUAAAUAUAAGCCACCUAAAUAGUAUGUACAAGAGAAUAAUAUUUCUUACUAUCAAUCGUCAGUGCCUCAAAUCCCAAAUAAGUUUGGAAUCGGCUACUUAAUAUACAACACCUAACACCUUAAACCCUUCAUCCCAACAACAAAAGUUACUCCUAAAUUAUUCCUGGCAGCCAAACACAAACAGUACUACAAUCAGUAACGACGAAAUUAUCUGCCUUGCCAGACUGUGGACUCGGUCUUAGAUCCAUUUUCCAGAAGAAAAGCCAGUUCUCUUAGGAGGAACUUUCAAGCCAAGUUCUUUACAUUGCUCUUCAUCAGGUUGUGAGCUCAGAAAUCCGGUCCCUACGAAGUGAACUAAUGCUGAUGCAUUCUCGAGUUUUUUGGUUAAGUUGAGUGAUGUAGAGAGAAAAGGUUCUGAAGUAGUAGUCUUUGGUUGAUUUGUAGGCAGCUCUGCUGCUUUCAGAAAGCGCUGGGUUGCUGCUUCCCAAGAAAGCGCAUGCCUUUGUGCAUUAGUCAAGGGGGCAGGCUCAUCAGACAAUGCCUUGAUUAUAGCUUUAACAAACCCCUCACCAUCAUCAUAUGUUAGACAAUUUGGGAACUGCAUGAAAAAUUCAUUUGACGGAUGGUUGGCGCAUACAACUAUCUUGCCCAUAGCUAAUGCUUCAGCCGAGGUUGUACAAACUACAUCUGUGGUACUUGGAUUAACGAGUACCCUAUAAUCGUGAAACAAAGGAUCUGCAUGAUCACGUCCAGGAUGAACCCUAACUGCCAAUUCCAACUUCUUAGCUGCCAUCUCAAUUUCAGCAGAAUCCUCACCACUGCCAUAUAAAUCGAUCUCAAAUCCAGGAAGUUCCUUUUGAUGAUCACGUAAAAGAUCAAGUAGUUCCUUGUACCCUUUGUUCCACAACUUCUUACCAAUGUAGUAGACACCUUUGCUGAAAGCUUGGUCAUCAUUUUGCUGUUUCUCUCUAGUUUUCAGCCCAAUCUGAAGGAACUUUGGAUUAACUCCAUGCACAUUGCAGACCACAGAUCUCGGUAGAUCCUGGGUUGCAGCAGAAAGCCGGAUGACCUUGUGGCAAUAUAUAUCGAUUACCCAGCCAUUAAUGUACUUUAUCAGGAGGGCUACCAUUAUGUUCCUCUCUCUCCUGACAAUCUCCCAAUAAUUGGUGUGAACAAUUCCAACAACCAGACGAAAUUUUUCUUUCCAUCUCUUUCCAUGAUGAUACCAUGUAAGAUGCUCGGGCUCCUCAAGGACUGCAAUAUCUGCUUCGUCAUCUGGUAUAAUUACUGUAAUAUCGCCCAAAGCAAGAAUGCUCCUUUUAUCUAGAGAGAACUUUCCGGGAUAAAAACGUAUAUUAAAAUUUGACUCAAAUCCAGUCCUCUCUUCCACCCAUUGACGGACAUGCUUUUCCUGCUCCAAGUGUGAAUCAAACGUGAUAUUAUUGGGAAACAAGUGUUCCUGAUCUACCAGCGGCAGCCAGGGAACAACCAACGUGACCUGCAUCCUACCAUCUUUUGCAAGAUAGGCCGCACGAAACAGAGGAUUGACAGCUGUUCCAGUUAGCCAUGGGAUGCUUGCAGUAGUAAAUAUGGCAAUGUGCUGGUUCUUCUCCAUCUAUGGAUG
RNAcentral lists this unclassified non-coding RNA (1625 nucleotides) under Hevea brasiliensis (rubber tree). Lineage: Eukaryota; Viridiplantae; Streptophyta; Magnoliopsida; Malpighiales; Euphorbiaceae. The record is from RNAcentral.